UCUACAUAUCAAUAAUAACAAUCAUGCGAUUAACGCAAUAAAUGGAUUCACAGUAUGAUUUUUUAGUCAAAUGUUGAUAAUACGUGAUGAUGAUUCGUAAACAUCUCGUUAGAUCGGUCGUUCGAUUAAUUUCCUCGGCGUUGAAUUGAUGACUUCCUGCCGCGCGCUCUUGCUCGCUAACACUGGGCACUUAGUCGACACUGUUCUGGCUCUCCGUAUAUUCACAGUAUAUACGCACGUGUUUAUAAAACACAUGUUAUAUAUUUAGCUUCCAUGAAUCUCGUAUUUCUCUCUUAUUCUUCGCAUUCUUUCAGCAGUGAAGUUAGAAAGAAAGAAAAUCCAGACCGCAAAUUCUUUUCCUGCGGAACCUUUGCCGGGAACGAUGGUCUUAUCAUUCCGCGUUCAUGGUCAUUUCAUGGACAAAUAUAUACUGUGAAACGUUCGAUGGAUGUCGUUGGUAAUUCGAUAGUGUGAAAAACGACGUAUGUGUCCUAUCCAAACUGGCAGCACGAUUGUUGUAAACUCUCCGAGUCCACGGAGAACAUCGUCGCUUGGCAGAAGUUUCUUUCAACCGGACCUAUCAUCAUUGCUUCCGGAAAUAAUCGAAGAGACUGGAAAGCAAGAAAGUCUUGCUGUUGGAGAGAAAUAUUAAACAAAAAUAUACAUCACAGGAACAAUAGUCCAAUUGAGUUGUCGCUUUGAAUCAACAGAUUCGUUAUCUAGCUUUGGAGCAUGGCAACACAUAGAAGCAGUACGAUAUUGUCCAGUACGAUCAAUGCAGUAGGUAUGGAACGCAUGUUCGGACACUAUGAUAAGUUUCAGCGAGGAUCACUUGUCUGAGGAAUUGGCAUACAUAGUUGAAAAUGAUCUGAUGUUGUACGCUAUCAACACACAACUUUCUCAGAAAAAGAAUAUGACUGUGAUUUACGAAUCUAAGAUCACCGAUAUAAAACUCCACAAGAAGAUAUCAAUCAAGAUACCAAUUUGCUCUAUAGAGAUGGAAUCAGGAAAACGGUACAUAAAUGGAUUACUGAUAAGACAGAAUAAAAGAAGAAG
This is a long non-coding RNA of Camponotus floridanus (Florida carpenter ant), 1056 nucleotides long. RefSeq lists it as uncharacterized. The record is from RefSeq and is a predicted model, not a curated record. Lineage: Eukaryota; Metazoa; Arthropoda; Insecta; Hymenoptera; Formicidae. The transcript has 5 exons.